CUUUACAAGUAUUGCCUGAAUCAGAAAUGUCUCUGUAGAAAUUCCACAUAGUCCCUCCAUGUAGCCAUUUUACCUCAAUCCAAUUGUGAUGUCACCAAUAAGCAUCAACAGCUCUGGAUGUUUAGGGCUUUUGUUUAUUCAACUUUGCUUGCACAAGCUUUGGUCAUCCUGGUUCCCCAUUUCUCUGUCUCUUUAAUUUUGUCUUUGAGUUUUUCUUUUAAUUUUACACCAUAGCACUGCGCAGGAGAUGGGAACUUGCUGCAGGGGGCUCUGAUAAAGCUCAGUGGAAGGGGACAGGUUUUCAAAGAAGUGCUUUCCUACUUGGUGACCACUCAGACAUCAAGACAAGAGUACCCUGGCUCCUGUCCCUCGAGUCUACCGACUCAGAGAAGGAGGCAGCUCCUGUGACUGUGAAGACCUACAGUGGCUGCCGGGGCUCCAGUGUUCAGAAUCGUCCCAUAUCACCUCAUUGUCCCACUGAGGACUGGCCUGGACAGGGCCUUUCAUCCCCUCUCCAUUUCUCUCACUGAGAAAAGGUGAAAAAAGAGAACUCAACCAGCUGUCUUGCCUUUCCUCACAAUAGCCCACCUUGCAUCAUCCAAGAUGAGAAGAACCUGGAAACCAGCUCCAAAAGGAGACAUAAGCACCACAAAACCUGCUAACGUUUAUUUGAUGAGUCGCUUUUAGAAAGAGACCACCAGGAAACAUUUUGCCACAGCUAGCCAGGAGUAAAGCUCAGGAACUGGAGACCAAAGUCAAGGUAAGGCCCAUAUUGGGCACAAUUUUUGUUUCUCUUGGUGAGGCUUCUUUUCUUCACUCCUUCUUGCCCUCACUCUUUCCCCCAAGCCAGGAAUCCAGGGACUCCUCUCAAGGCACCAGGGAUGGGUUUCCUGGCCCAGCCAUGGGGAUAGGGGAAGGGAAUGUAGGCUGCUGUUUUUCCUUCUAGCUACUUGCACUAAAUUAACCUGUUCUCCAUUUACCCCACUUUUCAAAGUGGCUUUUCUUGGUUUGUGUUGCAUUUAUUUGCUAUCCUUGUGUGUGGGGGGGAUUAACCUGGUCUCUGCUUACUCCAGUUUUGUAAAUGGCUUUUCUUCUUCUAAGUUUGUGUUUUGGUAUGAUGCUAGGAUUAGGGAUGCCCCACCCUGGGUGCUUCUUUCUCAGUUUAUGUGAUGCUGGGAUUAAGGGUAAAACAGUAGGAUUAAGGGAGACUCAUCUUGUGUGUGGGUGGCACCAAUAAACAGGCUUAGAGCCUGCAUAGAUUCACACAUCUAGAUGUGGGCUUACAUCAACUGCCACCAUCUUUUUCUCUUUCUUUCUUUCUUUCUUUCUUUCUUUCUUUCUUUCUUUCUUUCUUUCUUUUUCUUUCUUUCUUUCUCUCUCUCUCCUUUCUUCUUUCUUUCCUUCCUUCUUUCUUUCUUUUUCUUCUUUCUUUUCUUUCUUUCUCUCCCCCUCCCUUUCUUUCUUCUUCCUUCCUCCCCCCUCUCUUUCUUUCUUUCUUCUAAAUGGCCUUAUGAGCCAAGUCCCUGAUUUUGGAGAACAAGUAGGAGGAAGCUCUUUUUUUUAUUUAUUUACUUUAACUGCCACUGCCAUGUGUCUUUUCCACAUGGAAAAUAAAAAGUCUGUAUGUUUUAAAAGGAAACACCCAAGGCUUUGGCUGAAGGAGGGCAACAGCGGGGAAGGCCUGUUCAAGCCAGCUUUAGCUGACCCACUUUCUCCAUGUCCUAAAUCCCAUCUGAAGCUACAGCAUCCUGGCUGGAUUUCUUCCAUGUUCAAGUGCAGGCAAUUUAAAACCUUAUGCCUGAUAACCUGAGCAGAAUGGACAACGUUUAAAAUUUAAUUGAAAAAACUGUGAGUACACAAAAACAGAGCCAUCCCCUUUCUUAGCCUUUUUACUAUCAGAGUAAAUACAAGAAACAAUUUUCCCAAUUGGCUCCAUUCUGCUUAAGUAGAAUCGUCAAAGGACUCAAAAUGCAAGUUGGACCAUCACUGGCUAAGGGAACUUGGCGUGGGGAAGUUAUGCCCUCACAUCAUGGGAGUUAAAGGACUAGGUAAGGGCAACAAGUUGACUUUGCCCCCUUUUCCCUAAUGAGUUAAUGGGUACAAAUAUGGAGACAAAAGCAAUCAGGGGGUUUCUUCUGUGCUUAAUGAUGCUGGCAUCACCUGGACAGAGACAUCUGUCUAGUCUGUGUUAGGGUCUCACAAGGGAUGCUUUGUGGAACCCUGGGGUCUCCUCUUUCUUCAUGGGAUGCCAUCUGAAGGAGCCAAGACCUAGUUGACUCCUUCUCUCUAUAGGCUCCAAGCCAAGCCAAUGGGAAAUCUCUUGAACCUCAUUACCACAUGGAUUUCACCACGUUUGCCACUAGGCCAUAUUCUUGAUGAGUGGGAAAGGUUUGAUCUUGACAAUCUAAAACAGGAACAACUUAUCUACUAUUGCAACAUGGUUUGGUUCAGUACAAAUUGGGUGGUGGUUAGAGAUGGGUAUGUGAUGGUACUUAAUUGUUUUAUACUAUGAGACUAUUCUCCAUUUAUAGCGUUUCUGCUUAAAACAUACAAGGUGGAAUGAAAUGCCUUAUGUUCAGGUUUUUGUGACUAUCAAAGGGAAUGCUCAGAUACGGUGUUUAGAGUGGCCCCCAAGGAGAAGAAAGAUAUACUGGAAGACGUGGUCCUAAGACCUCCCACUUGUGUCUCAGGGGGAUGUGGGUCUCUCUGAGCUGUUUGAUGGGACUGGGAGGUCUUCUCAACCUUCUUUUUAUAGUCCUCAGGUCAAUAAAUCAAGUCCAUCCCCUCCAAGUGACUCAGGAACUCCAUUAGAGCCUAGUGCCUCAGGGGAACUCAGCCUUCCUCAGCCCCCUUAUCAUGCUUCUCAGACAGCUUUAAGCAAUGCAGGUUGAACCUGAAGUGGUGCUUCUUACUAUGGUGGUGCCUCAGUUCAUGGACUUGGUUCUUUCCAUGGUUCUGGUCCCAAAGUUUGUUCCAUGAUUCUGGCUGCAACUGAACUGCAAGCACACAUAUUCUAUGCUUGUGGUUCAUUUGAAGCUGGAGUCAUGGAGUGAGUUCUGCAACCAGAUUUGUGGAGGGGCUUGAAUUUGUGAACCCAGGUGCCACUGGACUCAACUUCACAACUUAUUCUGCCCCUAAGAGAAAUCUGUUUUUCAGUUGCCAAUGUCCUGUACUGCAAAGGAUGACUAAGGCAACUGUCAGAGGACUCUAGUAAGUUUGAAGCUGGAUUUCAAACUUUGAUCCUUGCUUUUGAUUUAUCAUAACUAGAUGGCCAUUUCAUCUUGACCACUUGCUAUAUCCCAGAUGAAAGACAAAGAAUCCUACAAGAGGGUAGGAACUAUGCAGAUGAGCAAUAUGCUUUGAAAAGGGAAAGAAACUACCUUAGAACAGCUUUUUCUCCCUUCAACAGAACCAAACUGGGUCUAUAAGGCUGGUCAUGAAAUAGAAAUGAUGUCCAAUAUGCUGGCUGCUCUUACCACGGGAAUAAAGAGGUACAUUAAAGUCUGUUCAUUAUGAUACAGUGAGUGGGAUCAUACAGGGUGCAAAGGAAAUCCAGCCGUCUCCCAUAACGGAUUAGUAGAAGUCUUUUAUAAAUAUACUACUAUAUAUCCAUCUUCCAGAGAGAGUAAGCACUAGUGGGACAAUAUUUCAUCUGUCAAUCAGCCCCAGAUAUGUGGCAUAAGUUUAAAAAACUUCAUAUGGGGACACAGACACCUAUGGUCCAGUUUCUGGACAUGGCCUUUUCUGUGUUCAACAAUCAGGACCCAGAGGAGGAACAAAAGAGAAGGGCUAGGAUUAUGGCUGUUGUAAUUAGUGAUGGUUUAAAUCUACCCAGGUGGUCCAAGGAAAAACUCAGGGAUGGCUGGAGAAAGAGGUCCUGUUUCAAGUGCAAGAGGAUUGGAAACUGGGCAUGAGAUUGUACCAACCCUCUGCCUGGGCCCUGCUCCAUAUGUGAGGCAGGUAAAUGUGCCUGACUUGUGGUCUGACUGUCCCUACUCCCAAAGAGAGGAUAGAUCACCCAGAACCCUUAUUUCCUGCUCUGAUGACUGAAGAAGCCCAGAAGAACCUGUAAUGCCUGCAUCCACAGACAUCACCAUCUCCUCCGAGGAACCCUGGAUCAUCUUAGACUUCAUGGGUGAACCAAUUCAAUUACUUCAUUCUAUUUUGACUUACUUCUAUAGAAAACACUCCUUUGGAUCUAUAGCCAUAAUUGGGGUUGAGGGGACCCCUAAUCAGAGAUUCUUUGCAGCUCUACUAACAGAAGAAGCUGCAAAGUUAAUUUUGGGACAGAAACUAGAAGUCAUAACUUCCCAUCAGGUCAGAGCUAUUCUGCAGACAAAGUUACUUGUGGUUAACAGGGAAACAGCUCACUAAGUAUUGAUCCAUGCUCUUCAAUACCCCUGAGGUUGUUAUAAAAACCCACACUAUUAUUAACCCUGAUUCUUUGAUGCCUACAGCCCCAGAAGUGAACCAUUUCUGUUAGCCACUCUUUGUGAACAAGUUAUCUCCCAGACCUAUGCAAGAGGGCAGGACAUCAGUGACCUGCCCCUUCAAAAUCCUGAGGAGGUGUGGUUCACUGGUGGAAGUAGCCUUGUCAAUCAUCUAUAAAGCACAGGCAGAAAAUUGUACAACUAUUAAAAGCACUGGCUCCUUCUUCCCGGGCAGGUUUCGGUCAUUCACUGUAAAGGGUACAAAAGUGAAAUGUCUAAAAAUUCAUUGGGAAAUCAAAAAGCUGAUAGGGAAGCAAGAAGGCUUUAUUCCCAGUUCUUAAGGAUCUAUUUUGGUCCUUUCUCAAGGGACAUAAUGAGAAGCUAUAAAAAUCCUACAUGGGAAGUGGGCCUCACUCUUCUGGAAAGGUACAGAGAGCCAAGCAGACCCUAAAGCAAGCUCUGGCAAAAUGUUGCUAAGAGAAGUCUGAGUCCUGGCUCUGACUGCUGCCAAUACUGCUCACGAGGGUUCACAACAUGCCCAAAACUGGGUUAAGUUUGAGCCCACUUGAGAUGUUACAUGGAAGCCAUUUCUAUCCUCUAAUAUGAUAGUGGAUCCAGAGCCAUAAGACUCUUACAGUAUCUCAUUAAUCUAGUCUAAGUACAACAGGCUAUCCAAAUGUAUGGGCACACAGUCCUCCCAGAUCCUGCCCCAGACAGACCACCCUAUCGGUUCUGGAGACCAAGUGCUCCUAAAAACUUGGAGAGAGGGGACAUUUUGCUGACCAGCCAAAAUGGAAGGGCCCUUAUUACAGCUUGUGUUUAAAUCUCCAAAGCCUCAUGUAGUCAUAGGUGGGGCUUUUUCAGAAGUGGCUGGAUCUAGAGUGUAUGACGCUGGAAGUGACAUGGUAUAAUGCUAGGAUCAAGGGCACUAGGAUUAAGGUUAUGAGUGCUACCCAUCCUAAGUAGCCUGAAUAACAUAUGAGGGAUAGAAAGAACUGUGGUUGCCCCUUGCUGCAUUGCUACCUUUUGCCCACCAAGAACUUUCUCCUCUGCAAGGCCACCCUGGCUUGGA
Non-coding RNA from Heterocephalus glaber (naked mole-rat), 5502 nucleotides. The record is from RefSeq and is a predicted model, not a curated record. NCBI's taxonomy places the organism in Eukaryota, Metazoa, Chordata, Mammalia, Rodentia, Bathyergidae.